UUAAGUUAAUAAGGGCGCACGGUGGAUGCCUUGGCACUAGAAGCCGAAGAAGGACGUGACAAACGACGAAAUGCUUUGGGGAGCUGUAAGUAAGCGCUGAUCCAGAGAUGUCCGAAUGGGGGAACCCACUAACUAAUGGUUAGUAUCCAUAACUGUUAAGGUUAUGAGAAGGAAGACGCAGUGAACUGAAACAUCUAAGUAGCUGCAGGAAGAGAAAGCAAACGCGAUUGCCUUAGUAGCGGCGAGCGAAACGGCAGGAGGGCAAACCGAAGUGUUUACACUUCGGGGUUGUAGGACUGCGACGUGGGACUUUAAAAGGAUAGAAGAAUUACCUGGGAAGGUAAGCCAAAGAGAGUAAAAGCCUCGUAUUUAAAAUUCUUUUGAGCCCUAGCAGUAUCCUGAGUACGGCGAGACACGUGAAAUCUCGUUGGAAUCUGGGAGGACCAUCUCCCAACCCUAAAUACUCUCUAGUGACCGAUAGUGAACCAGUACCGUGAGGGAAAGGUGAA
Molecule: ribosomal RNA, 509 nt
Filed under: Streptococcus pyogenes AA216
Lineage: Bacteria; Bacillati; Bacillota; Bacilli; Lactobacillales; Streptococcaceae
Description: bacterial LSU rRNA
Rfam family: Bacterial large subunit ribosomal RNA
Source: RNAcentral